UGGAUUCCGUAGUAAUCGUGUUUCAAUAUAGCACGGGGAAUAUGCCCCUGCUCCUUGCACACACCUCCCGUCAAAACAUCUUAGUUGGUGGUGGGUGUGGCUGCGCUUAAUUCGGUAUGGCGUAUUCGAGCCUGCCUUCGACAAGGAGGGUUAAGUCGUAACAAGGUAUCUGUAGGGGAACCUGCAGAUGGAUCACCUCCU
RNAcentral lists this ribosomal RNA (201 nucleotides) under Candidatus Poseidoniaceae archaeon. RNAcentral describes it as "partial 16S ribosomal RNA". It matches the Rfam family "Archaeal small subunit ribosomal RNA", at positions 1283 to 1478 of the family's 1478-position model. Lineage: Archaea; Methanobacteriati; Thermoplasmatota; Candidatus Poseidoniia; Candidatus Poseidoniales; Candidatus Poseidoniaceae. The record is from RNAcentral.